GAAACUUAAAGGAAUUGGCGGGGGAGCACCACAAGGUGUGAAGCUUGCGGUUUAAUUGGAGUCAACGCCGGAAAUCUCACCGGGGGCGACAGCAGAAUGAAGGUCAGAUUGAAGGUCUUACCAAACAAGCUGAGAGGAGGUGCAUGGCCGUCGCCAGUUCGUGCCGUGAGGUGUCCUGUUAAGUCAGGCAACGAUCGAGACCCGCGUCCCCUGUUGCCACCGGCCUUGAGCCGAGCACACUGGGGAGACUGCCGCCGAUAAGGCGGAGGAAGGAGCGGGCCACGGCAGGUCAGUAUGCCCCGAAUCCCCCGGGCUACACGCGAGUUGCAAUGGCAGGUACAGAGGGUCCCGACUCUGAAAGGAGAAGGAAAUCCCGAAAGCCUGCCGUAGUUGGGAUCGAGGGGUUGUAACUCACCCUCGUGAACAUGGAAUACCUAGUAACCGCGUGUCACUACCGCGCGGUGAAUACGUCCCUGCUCCUUGCACACACCGCCCGUCGUUCCAUCCAAGCGAUGCUUGGGUGAGGCGUGGUCCUUUGGGCUGCGUCGAAUCCAGGUUUCGUGAGGAGGGAAAAGUCGUAACAA
This 584-nucleotide ribosomal RNA is filed under the name uncultured crenarchaeote. RNAcentral describes it as "bacterial SSU rRNA". It matches the Rfam family "Archaeal small subunit ribosomal RNA", at positions 851 to 1441 of the family's 1478-position model. The record is from RNAcentral. Lineage: Archaea; Thermoproteati; Thermoproteota.